UACAGAGGAGCCAAGCGUUGUCCGGAUUGACUGGGCGUAAAGCGCACGCAGGCGGUUGCGCGCGUGGGGUGUGAAAUCUGGCCGCUUAACGGCCAGGCGCCAUCCCAUACGGCGCGACUGGAGGGCUGCAGAGGUCGAUGGAAUUGCCGGUGUAGUGGUGAAAUGCGUAGAGAUCGGGAGGAACACCAGUGGCGAAGGCGGCUACCUGGACCAGCACUGACACUGAAGCACGAAAGCGUGGGGAGCAAACAGG
RNAcentral lists this ribosomal RNA (253 nucleotides) under uncultured bacterium. RNAcentral's name for it is "partial 16S ribosomal RNA". It matches the Rfam family "Bacterial small subunit ribosomal RNA", at positions 524 to 776 of the family's 1533-position model. The record is from RNAcentral.